Molecule: transfer RNA, 71 nt
Filed under: Marmota monax (woodchuck)
Lineage: Eukaryota; Metazoa; Chordata; Mammalia; Rodentia; Sciuridae
Description: tRNA.Val
Source: RNAcentral
UGGGGUGUAGCUCAGUGGUAGAGUUGUGCUUAACAUGCACGAGGCUCUGGUUCCACCCCCUGCCGCCUUCC